AGUAACGGCGAGUGAACGGAGAUGAGCCCAGCGCUGAAUCAUUUGGUCAUAGUGACCAUUUUGAGCUGUAGCGUAUAGGUGCAAUUAUCCCAUUGCUUUGUGCACUCAAAGUCCCCUUGAGCGGGGCCACAGUCCACAGAAGGUGCUAGACCUGUACGGGUGACGAAGCACUGGGUUGAUUGUUCCUCGGAGUCGGGUUGCCUGAGAUCGCAGCUCAAAGUGGGUGGUAAACCUCAUCUAAGGCUAAAUAUGGCCACGAGACCGAUAGCAAACAAGUACCGUGAGGGAAAGUUGAAAAGAACUCUGAGAAGAGAGUUAAAGGAGGACGUGAAACCGCUGGGAUGGAAACGAAUAGAGUUGACGAAACCUGCCGUCAUUCAACCGAUCAACUCCGCGGACUUUCGGCAUCGUACCGCGCAGCACCACCUUGUGUGUGUGUGUGCAUUGUUGGACGAUGACGGGAGCUUUCCUGUGUUGAGUAGUUCUAUUUUGCUGUGUGAUUGGUGCAUUUGAUGGUGGUACGCGCCGAGAGUCGCGUCAUUGUACGACCAAGCGUGUGUAGUGGCCCGUGCGGUCUUCUGCACGGAAACUUGCGCACGUGGAAGCGUAUCAUUGAUGCGAUUGUUGUGUGUGUCUAUCAACUUUCGCCACACAUUCGUGUGUGGUGCGUCGCUGUUCGCCACUCGGUUAGCGUGUCCACAAUGUGAUCGCUUGCGUAUCGCGUGCGGUUCACGCUGAUCAAGAAGAGAGAGUGGCCUGUUGAAGCGCGUUAAAGUUGCGUCUCGGUGUGAGCGUUGAUCACCUAUUCGACCCGUCUUGAAACACGGACCAAGGAGUCUAGCAUAUGCGCAAGUUAUUGGGUGGUAAACCUCAAAAAACGCAAUGAAAGUAAACGCCGUCUUGGUACGGCACAUAUAUUAUAUGUGAGCCGUGUGUUUGCGGCCAAUGUGCGCACGGUGCAGCAUAGCCCCGUCCCCGUUGCAUGCAAUAGGGCGGAGGUAGAGCGCAUAUGCUGGGACCCGAAAGAUGGUGAACUAUGCCUGAGCAGGAUGAAGCCAGAGGAAACUCUGGUGGAGGUCCGAAGCGAUUCUGACGUGCAAAUCGA
Molecule: ribosomal RNA, 1105 nt
Filed under: Proleptus obtusus
Lineage: Eukaryota; Metazoa; Nematoda; Chromadorea; Rhabditida; Physalopteridae
Description: eukaryotic LSU rRNA
Rfam family: Eukaryotic large subunit ribosomal RNA
Source: RNAcentral